CAUAUUAAAAUUAAUAAUAAAUUGUGAAAAGGAUUCUAGUAGUGACUGCAAGAUCAAAUCUUGAGAAAGCUCUUUACCCAGUUUGCACCCCAACUUCUCAAGCUCUUCAAUAAGAUCAAUCAUAUGAUUGACGUAGGGUCCAACUGGUGAGUUUCCAGUCAAUUUGGAUCCAAAUAAAGCCUUAGAUAGUUGGUAUCUAGCUGUCCUGCUUUGUGUACCAACAUCUUCUUA
RNAcentral lists this long non-coding RNA (231 nucleotides) under Nicotiana benthamiana. RNAcentral describes it as "long non-coding RNA (NBEN_LNC029517)". The record is from RNAcentral. Lineage: Eukaryota; Viridiplantae; Streptophyta; Magnoliopsida; Solanales; Solanaceae.